Diceros bicornis minor is the source of this 374-nucleotide long non-coding RNA. RefSeq lists it as uncharacterized. The transcript is spliced from 3 exons. The record is from RefSeq and is a predicted model, not a curated record. NCBI's taxonomy places the organism in Eukaryota, Metazoa, Chordata, Mammalia, Perissodactyla, Rhinocerotidae.
AAAAAAAAAAAAUAAAUAUUGACACUAAUUCAAAAUGUUGAAAUACUGCAUAGGACAAACUAAACACUUUUGUAGACUGUGUUUGGGAUUAUCAAUCUGUAAACCCUGAGGCAGGAAAAUAGACUUUCAGCAUUGGCGCGUUUGGAGUGAGAGGAAAGUAUCCCCGCCUCCUGGGUGUAGACGACUUGACCCGAAGAAUACCAAGCUGAAUCUCUUCCAGCAAUGUGGAUUUGGGUUAAUUAUCUAUAUGCAACCAACGUGGAAGGUCGGGGACUGAAGGUGCCACGUGGGGGCAGCCCAGUGUAAGUAAAAUCAGCAAAGAGAGUCCGAAGUCAGAAGGAAGCAGACAGGCAGAGGGAAGCCAAGACCAGAGA